CCAUAUCAUGUUGAAACACCGGUUCUCAUAUGAUCACCAAAGUUAAGCAACAUUGUGCCUAGUUGAUAUCUAGAUGGGUGACCUCUCGGGAUUACCAUGUGCUGUGA
This is a non-coding RNA of Acanthosepion pharaonis, 107 nucleotides long. The record is from the annotation of a GenBank genome assembly. Lineage: Eukaryota; Metazoa; Mollusca; Cephalopoda; Sepiida; Sepiidae.